UAAAAGCUCAAUUGAAGAGUUUGACAGUGAUGCUGUUCAGGCUUAGCAUAAUAGCAGAUGGCUGCAGUUGCCGUCUGUCUUAGAAACAAAGAAGAAUUCUUCUCCCAGGAGAGAAGAGGAAGGAACGGUUCCAGCUGCUAGAGAUUCAUUGAUGUAUCUCUCUGUUGCCACCCUCACAGGGUGAGCGAGCAAGCUUAUAUAACUUGCCACAGGGGAAGGCAGCAACUUUAAGUAGCAAGGGUGAGGUGGCUGAAGUCACAGUGUUUAUUGAAAAUAGAUCAGGAUAAGCGACAAAUUUGAGAGAAAAUCAGUGGGGGAAUGAUUGCUAGGAAGAUUUGCAGGCAGGUGGAUUAGAGAAAGUUGCUGCUUCUUAAAAUCCUACCAGCUAACAAACCAUGAUGAUUAAAGAGCUUCAAAAUGAUAUUUUUCAGAAUAAGAGGAGAACUGAGGUGAAAGGUGGAAGAAACACUGAAGGAGUGUGGAAACGGGUUGUUUCUGUUUUGGGCCAAAUCCUGAAUCCUGUUUCCUCAUUUUCACAUCAUUCUCAGACCUUAACCUGAUUCUGAGAAGAAAUGUACAAAGGCAACAGAAGCCUACGCUAACAGGCCAGCGUUUCAAACCUCGAAAAAGAGAUGAAUCAUACAAAAACACUGUGUAAAUACUCAAAUUUUAAUGAAAAAAUUAUCACUUUGAUAAUGUUACAUUUUUGGCAUAUUAAGAAAGAAAAUGUAGGGCUCUAAUAAUUAACCUCAUUAAGACCAUAUUAUGUAAUAACCAGCACAAAAUGUAAUGAAGUCAUAAAACGCUUUUUCCAAGAUCAUUUUAAUAGAUUCUUUAAAACUUUUAUUUGUAUUAUAUCUGUUGCCUUGCCAAACAAAAAAACAAAACAAAAAACCAGAAUCAAAUAUUCCUUAAACUUGGCUUUUCUUCUCAGUCAUUCAUUCAGAUUUUUGAGAUGAGCUAAGUAGUCAAAAGAAGAUCCCAAUUAAACAGCCCUGGGCUGUUGAUGUGAAAAUGUUGAGACAUCUGACUGAGGGAAGCUCAAUGAGAUCCAACAGAAGAACUGGCUCUGAGGCAGCGUGAAUGAGUCAAGGAGCCGCUUUCUCAGAUCACUUCAGUUACCUUAAUUAAUUCAGACUGAUACAUCCGAGCAAGAAAGCAAAUUAGCUCAUCGCUUUGUCACAGGAGACAAUCGUCACCAGAAAUGGGUUUGUGAUUAGCUCCAGUUCUGGUCACCAUGUCUGAAUCUGGCGUGACAGGAUGUCACUCAGGACGCCUUCAUCAGAGACAGAAUCGAGGAGCUGCGCUCAACAGAUUCCUUUUGUAAUUUAAAUAGUGAUGAAGUGAAAGUAGGAGGCUGAUUUCCCUAAUAUGGCUGAAUCACAAGAAGCUGAGUCGGCUGCUUUCUCUUUAAUCCUUUAUAAACCAGUCAGUGCAGCAGAGCAAACAGACGAAUGUGAGGAGAAUCCAGCAGCACACAGAAACUCGUUUUCUAACACAAUCCCUGGAUUUGUCUUCUAGUUUGCUCAGGCCUCAGCCCUGCUGGAGAUUUCGUGUGGCAGUCAGCUCAGACGCAGUGAAGAUAUGACUGGAGUAAAUUUACCCCAGAAGAAGAAGACAAGCAGCAGCUGUUUUUUUGUUUUUAAGACAAUAGCUUUUUCACAUUGCUGUGAAGUAUUUACCCCUUUAAUGUCUCAGAUCAACAAACAGAUUUUAACAUUGGAUCAAGAUGUCAUGUAUUAAAGGGAAAACUUCAUUUCUGAUUUAAGGGAUAUUUAAAUCAGGCUUGUUUCUGGUGAGAUUUGGACUCUGCCAAGAUUGCCUUUAGUACGGUAACCAGUCCCCUUCAUAGAGUUUCUAGGUGCAACUAACGUGUUGAAGGGAUUCGCUUUAGUUGUCUCGGAUUGGGUCUGUGCUGUUUGCAGAUGAUGUGGUUCUGUUGGCUUCAUCAGAUUGUGACCUCCACAAGGUUAAGAAAGCUCCUGAACUCCUCGCUGGUGAGCUAUUCCAGUCAUUCUGAAGUGACUGGAACAGGAUGGGCUGGGAAUGCCAAGGGAUUCCCCAGGAUGAGCUUCUCCAGGUUGGAGAGAAGUCUUCUGUCUGCUUUGCUCAGCAAGAUUUGCUCAGAGAUCACACACCAUGAUUAAAAAAUCAUAGUUGUAAGAUUUUGUUGCAGUCAAUGCUGUCCAGCCACAUGGGAGGAGCAACACACCAAAAUACAAAGGGAUUUCACUCACCAGCAUUCAGAUGGAAAAUCUGGCCAAACCUCUCGAGAGACCCAACAUGAAUUCAGGGUAAUUAAACUUUAAGGUAAAAAAGUUGUCAUGAAAUCUUGCCAUGUGAAUGAGGCAUUAGGGUGCUGCUCUGGACCCAAUCCUGGAUAAAGUGGAAAGUGGUUGACUUAAUGGUUGACUUAGAUGAAGGUUUUCCUUUAAUAAAUGGAAUCAUAAUUUGACAAAAUAAUUUUUUUUUUGAAUCUUUGUCUAAUAUUAAAUUUGUUUCAUGAUCUAAAACAUUUUCAAUGCAGACUAAAUCUGUAAGAGGAAAUAGGCCUACAUAUUGUUAUAGGAUCCUUGCUUUUUGUGAUGUUUUUCCUAUUAAUAUCUCUAAGGUGUGCUAUCAAGACGGAACACACAGCUGAGAUCAGAUCUGUUCUAAUUAUUCAAUGACCCAAUGCAAGCUGCUUUCCAGUCUGACUACUUAACUAUAGCAGACACACCAACACAUUCAGGUCCAUUUCACUGACACGGUGCUGCACUAAGCAGAGCAACAAACCACCAGUUUAUCUUCAUUCCUGCUAAUCUGUUGCUGAUGCUUAUAGCUGUUUUUCUUUUUGACUCCACUGCUGAGCCCAGACUGAGAAACUCUCCAUCUUGACACACUUUAAUUUAUUAACUAACUCAUGAUCAGUUUUGGUAUAUACCAUUCAGCUCAGGUUGUAUUUUUAAAGUUUUCUUUUAGCCUCAAACAUUUUUUUUUUUCAGAAUUAAGUGACAUUUACUUCUAUCUUUCUUCAAAAACUGCAAAAAGGACAUCUUAUGAUUUUCUUUUCACAAUUCAGCAAUCUAGCCACUCUAACACAAACACCAGAAUUUGGGAUUUUCCCACAUAUUAGUCUCUGAACACUCCAGAGUUAUGGCGGUAAAUCCAUGUUGAAAGAGGCAAAGUUUAAAUGUCAAUAAUUGUUUUUGAAAUACUAUGAAAUUCAGUAAAUUUCUGUAAAAACAAUACAUUGAAUCCACGUCUAUUCACUUUAGGAAAUUUUUUUUCUCAAUAAAUCUCUUUAGCAUGUUCGAAGAACAGGAAAAGACAGAAUAUUGUAGAACAGCAAAAUAAAUAAAAUGCAAUUUUACAAAAAUAAAAAUCUCAAAUUUUUCCACCUGUCACCAUGCCUGUGGUUCCAUUCCUGACUUCCCUGCAUGUCGAGAUGCUUGUGUUUGACUGUAAGGUGCUCAAAAAUGUCUAAUUUCAGUUCAUUCACCAUCAAAGAAGAAAGCUGAUGCAAAGAAAUGACAGAGGCAGAAGGAGAGGGGAAUUAGAGAAAUGUAAUGAUGAGGUUGAGAAGGAAAAGUAGGGCAUGAAUCAAUGAGGCAGAACAGGAAUCUUUUAUUUAGUUCUAGUUAGCUUGAGAGGGAGACACAAUAAAACUGAAAAUCACACCAACAGGCUAUUAAUACAACAUUUACUUUGUGUAGGCCACCAGUUGCAUGUGGAGUUCAUUGAUUCUUUCCCAUCGGUUCUUAUGAGAAUUUUAGGAACCAGAAAGGAUUUUUUUUUUUACCUCGCAUAGAACUGCUCAGUCCCAAAUCCAGGUAUUUUAUCUGCGAAGUGAAAUGUUUCACAAGCUUUAUUCAAACCCCCCUGCAGCUCAGCAGUCGGCUCGUUCAUAUUUCCAAGUAGCUAACCUCAGCUUUACCUUUCUCUGGAUUCCAUCCCUCCUGUGUUCCUGCUGCCAUCACUGGAGAAAAACAGCUGAGACCUGCAGAAAACCACGACUUCCUGUUCGUUCUUCAAGUCACUGCUUUAUUCACUGAUGGCAUUGAAAAGCCAAACCUUUUCAUUGGACCAUUCAGCCAGAAACAUAAAAAACACUGAAAUGUUUCAGAUCAUCCCAUUUUAAUAUCUAACAAAGAUCAGCUGAGGAAAAUAUAAUCAACCAAACAAUGGCCCUAUAUAAACAAUAUUUCUAUAAACAUAAACAUAUGUUCACAUAUGAUGAAUAUACCAAGAUCUAAAAGACUGAACACGUCCUGAUAACUAUUAGCCACAAACUGAGAAAACUUCCCAGGAAAUACCAGCCUAUCAGUAUUGAUGAUCCAUUCAGGAUAUUCCAAAAUAAUAACAAUCGCAUUCAGUGGUUAUAAUUCAGCAAUAAAAAGGAGACGGAACAAUAGUUAUUUGAGUUUUCCUAAACCCAUCCACUGAUAAACCAGAAGUUCAAAUUCACAAGAUGAUCUGGACCUGUAAUAAUGAAUACAUUGCUUCGUUCUCUCUAGCUAGCAGUAAAUCCUGAAAGAGAAGGACUGGCAACUCCUCCAAGACCUUCAACUCAACCAGAAAGUCCACCUCUAGUUAACAAAUUGUUUCAGAGAAGAUGGUUGCCUCAACAGAAGAUGUGUCAGGACAGAUUUCUGAACAUGCUAUUUUAAUUAUAUUCUAUGAAACUCUCCAGCGAACCCAAAUCAGAAAUAAAGUGAACCAAAAUUUCUUCAUAGCUGUCACGAACACAAACACUUCAAAACACCAGCAUUAAGGUUUAGGGAGUUGUUACUUCUUUCCAUGGUGGGUGAGGAUUUUUUUUACCUUUUAAUAAAGAAAAUCAUAAUUUGACCACUGCAGUUUGUAUUUUCUCAGGUUAUUUCUGUCUAUUGAAUACUUUCUCUGCCUUUAAGAGAAUCAAAACUUCUUUAGCUUUUUUCCUUUUUAGCUUUCUCUUCCUCUGAGCCAUGCUGGGGGAAAAAGCUCUAUUUGAUGAACAGCGUAAUGAUGAUGCAAAGUGCAGGAAACCAAUGGCUUCACUGUUGUCCUUAAAGAUUUUGUGCUCUGUGGUACUAUCUUUUAUUUCUUCAUUUCUUUUUUCAGGAAGUCGGUCACACUGAGUUACCACAGAGUUAACAAGCUAGGUUUCAGUGCUACUUACCUUAAAGCUCCCUGUGCUUCUCCAGGAGGAUUCACUGCUCAGAGAGACAUGGAUAAUAAAAGGUCCUGAAGUAUUUCUAUUCAUUUUUAUUCCAAUAAGUGAUAUCUGGCAAUGCAGGUGACAGGAACACCAUUUCCAUAAAAAAACAGGCAGGAAUCCCUGAAAUGAGUUGUUGUUUAUGGCCUGGAAUCCAGUUUCACAGCUGGAUAUAUCUGAGCAGCCUUUGUGGGUCGACUGGAUGUGUCUGAACGGAUAAUUAGGUUUUCCAGUUAUGUGUGCUGCAAAUAUGGAAAUUCAUUGGUCAUAUCUGUUCGAAAGAAGCAACAGUGGUGAACUUGGAAAAGAGAGGAAUGUUGAGUUGCUGAAAUUAGCACUAAAUGAACACUUGAUCCUUGUUGAUGUGGGUUAUAGAAGGUAGAAAUAUGAAGAAUCAUAAAGAUGUGACGGAUUUAGAAGAAAGCCUGUGGUGACGGCCUACUUAAAGCGCUUCAAGGAAGAAAAACAGGAGAAAUGAAGACAGGGAUCAUUGAUGCUUGUGGGGAGUGAAGAAUGAUAUGUAAUAUUAGAUCCAAUAUAAAAAAAGCUUGUCUUACUGAAAUAAGUUUUUCCUGGAAAAAAUUAGAACACUCUGUGGAAACCUAUUUGUAAUUUAUAAUAUAAAUUUGAACAAAACUGGAUACAUUUUGUAAUACAUAAAAAACAUUCAAAAAGAUAACAUAAAAUAUAUAGUAAAACACCAUUAAAACAAUGUGAGAAAAUAUGAGAUCAUCUGUUAAAAUGUUCCAGAUCUUCAGCUUUUUUGAGACAGAACAAAGCAUCAUGGUUUUGAAGACAUAUCUCAGUAUGACAGGGUGAUCUGAAAAUAAUGCAUUUUGUUUUAGAUGCUCCCUUUAUGCUUUCUUUAAAAGUCUAAAUCAACAGGUUACACAUUCUGGAGUAAGACUGUAACAUUCAACUACAGCAGUUGAGGCUUUUUCCAGCAUACUUUUACACAAUAAUGGUGUAAAGUUGUGCAAAAACAGAAAAUAAAAACACAGGGAAUAAAUGAUUUGAUGUGCAUUGUAUUGGGAACACUGGCAGCAUUGGGUUUAAGAAGCCUGCACCCAGAUGGAGACUCAUACAUUUUUCUGAUCCCCUGUCAUAAUGUUGCUGCGCUCAGGAACAAGUCCCUCAUUCCCACUUCAUUCACUCUGUUUCCAUAUUAAUAACAUACAAUUUUAGAAAACUGGGUUACAACAGAAAUGAUUCACAACAUUCAGCAGACAUGCGGCACCAGCUUUUGUUGCCUUUGUGAAGUAUCUGUGCCAGAUUUUACAGAAAUAUGUAACGGAACCACCAACAUAAAAUGAGGAGAGGGGAGAGAAGGAGAAGCUGUAGUGGGUAUAAAGCUGCAGAACAUUGAUAGAUUCUUCUGUUUGAUCUCAGCACAACAUGGUUUUCUCAACAAUACAAAUUGGUUUUUCAGUAUUCUUGAUAUGGGCUCAUUUUUAAAUGACAUGUUGUGGAUGGUGCAACGAAGAAUUGAAAAUAAAGGUUUCAUUUCAAAGUUUGGUCAAAAUUCUGCAGAAAAACUAAUUCUAGCAGACAUUGAUGGCAGGUGUGGUCACAGAGUGACACACCAAAUUGUUUCGAUAAAUGAGAUCAUCUUUUGAGAACUGAUCAUUUUUAUUUCAUACUAAAAUGUGUUGGAUGAUGUGAAAUAAUUAAAUUAGAUUAGAAAUCUGUGAGGAGGCAAAUGGUGUACAUUAUCAGGAUGCUUAAUCCAACUUUGCUUUCCUACAUUAGAAAUGUAAUCACAUACUGUCUGGGACUAGACAAAACAUCCCACUAACACUACAACCUUUUCCUGUGAUUCCUAUGGCCAGAGGAUUUAGGCAGUCUGUCAUAUUUAGAGAGAGGGAAAAAUGCAAAGAAGCCUUUACUGCCAGCACUUACACCAGAGUGUCUGUGAUGCCUUUUCUCUGUUUAACGGACACAUUGACGACAAGUCCUGUUAGUGAUAGACAGCUGAGUGACAAGUAGAACGUGUGGAAUCAGUGAAAUAAAGACAGCAUUAUAGGAGAAGGCGAGUUAUUAGCAUCCACCUUUAAUAAUAUUUAGACUUCAUUCAGAUUCAAGUAUUUUCAUUGUGUAUUAUUUGUAUACUGCCAUCUUACAAUAAGAAAAGUUUAUCAUUUAUAAUGUUUAUAAUGUUUAAAAGCAAAAGUAUGAAAUUACCUCUUAGUUUCAGCAGAGAAAGAAUGAGGCUAAAAUGGUUCAUUUAUUAGACAGUGGUGAACUUAGUUCUUACUUUUUGAUUUUCCUGUAUCUUGUUCGCUGUCCAGAAUUCCUCAGGGAACAACCUUCUUCCCCUAAGAGUCUGACUGUGUGGUUCAGCCUGUACAAACCGGACAGUUUUCAUUGUUUUCACUUGCUAGCAAUGCUAACAAGGUCCAGGACAUUGUAAUUGAAGCUCACCUGUCUCAUUGACCCAAAAUAUAUACACUUUGCACUCAAAAAUAUGGAAGUAAGAACGUUUCUUGUCAACUUAAAGAAGAAUAGUUUUUUUAAGUAAAACAAGAUCUGUUAAAAAAGGAUAGGAAUGUUAUGCUAGCUAGCUUUUGUCCUCAAAAAUCCAAGGAAAAUUAAACAGCAGUCAGAUAGAUUUUACUCUUCUUUCUUUUGUUUUCUUUUUUAUGGUGGAAUACCCCAUAAAGAUUGAUAAGGUUUUAGUAGCAUUUAGUUCUUUCAUCUAAGAUGAUAUCUUUUUAUUUUAUUUAUGUGUGUUAGCUUGUGUUACACAGAAAUAAUCAGAUUAUUUAAAAUUUUUUAACACACAUACACAUAUGUGCCACAUCUGGGUCCCUCUCUCUUCUCAAGUGCCAUUUUAACAUAGAAUUUGUUUACAGGCAGAUAAACAAAUCCCAACCUUGCAGAACCUCAACCCUUCUCUGUCCCUUUUUAAGUAGCUGAUAAUGACACUUCUUUGAGAUUCUGAGUGUUAAAUCACAUAAUCUCUUUUCUGGUUAAUCUCCUCCUGCUUCCUGGUUCCUUUCAGCUUGGCAUUGUCAGCCUGUGAUGUAUUUCCUGCAUUUAGAUAAAGCUAAAUGUUAUUAAUAAAUGACUAGAACAAAGAUAAAUACUUGAGAUGAACCUUGUUAAGCCCAAUUAGACACAAAGGUUCACCUGUUAAGGUUUAAUUACAAUAACACAAAGAAGAAGCAAGAUUGUACUUUCAUUCCUCCUCCAGUCUAAUCAAAUCUUUGUCACAUAGACUAUCUGAAGGAUUAAUAUCUAUAUCUGAUCCAGUAUAACAGUUUUACCUUCAGGGAGAAAAAAAACAGAAUGUCAUGGAUCUUCAAAGAUCCUGAUCAACUUUCAGAAACUUGUAAAAAAAGAAAGAAAAUUAAUUUAUUUUAAGUUUUUAGGAGUGUGGGAGUUUCAUCACUUCAAACUGCUGUGCUAGCAGUCCCUAUUUUUGCCAUUAAUUCUUGAUUCACAUUGAUUAUUACUUUUUUUUUCUGUAUAGAUUUGCUUAAAUAUUAACUUUGAACCAACUUGUGUCACUGGGAUAUUGUUACACACUAUAAUUUCUUCUUUUGUUUAUAAUUUGGAUAUUUGAGCUUCUAUUGGAAAAUUUGUUAAAAUGAUUCCUGUAUUAAAAUGUACUGAAGGCUGCUGAGAGAAGAAGAGGCCAUUAAUCUAAAAGUAACAUAAAAAUACAGAUUAUAGUUUGGAAAUGUAUUCAGAGACAAAGAGAUGAAUUUUUGGAGAUGUGCUGUUGUCACAGUGACCAUAUUUGGAGAAGAAAAGAGAAGCUUGGACGACUAAAGACACCUUUCCAUGGUGGUAGCAUCAUUCUGAGUUUAUUUUGCCAGAGAAAGCAGUAGAGCAUUUCACAAAGUAUCUUGAAACAUAAUCCAGGAAGUUAAAUCUUGGGCACAAAUGCAUCCCUCAUUGAGAUUUCAUUUCCAAACUUCUCAAUGAAUUUGUCUAAAACGUCAGAAUUCUAGAUUUUUGAAGUAAUGCGCAUGGUAGUCUACAUAGUUUUGGAAAGAGUGAAAGUAGACUUCACUGAGGUCAAUUAGAGCCACAAAGGUGCAACUUGAGGGAGCAUGAGUCGCUGCAGCCAAAUAAUCAGGCUCCCAUUUCUUGCCCGUUCUGGAGUUAGAAAAUAAAAACAUCCCUAAUGGAAAGGUCAGUCCAUUUUUCUGAAUUUAAUUAAAUUCAGGUGUAUUUAUCUGGCAUCACUUGAUAUUGAAAAUCAACAGUGAGCGAUAUUUUGAGAAGGUAAACAUAUUCAAGUCAAAAGCAGUUAUGUAAAUGCAGCCUCGCUCAUUUCACACAAAUCAGUUCUAAAUAUAUCCCAAUUAUAUUCCAGCCAAACUUUUAACAGGCUUUUGUGUUUGUUUGUGAAGAAAGUCAGUAAAUUAAAUUUGAUUUGCACAGGCAAUAUAAACCAAUACGAGGCGAAAAAGGAAAAAAUAGUGAUAUAAAUUUCUAUAUGUUAUAUUUUAUUUGAUAAAGUUCAAAUUCUUCUAUUUUUUCCACUGAAGAGAAGAAAGUCAGAAGAAAUGUCUAUGAAGUACCUCUGAGACCUAACAAACCGGCACAGCUGAGGGAUUUAAAAGUGCUCUCUGACGGGCCCAUUGAGUCUGUUAUUCACCACAAUAAACAAUUAAAUUGUUUUAAUUUAUUAAAAUUUAAACAAUUAAAACAAUUAAAGAUCAGACAGAUAGAUGGUGACAUUUUUACUCUGCUCAAAUUUAGAAUAGUUCAUCUCAUGCACAUGAGCAUUAACCCUCUUGUUUCUUUCUUUCUUUCCUUGAGUUCACCCGUUUCCUGCAGAAAGAGAUGAUCGUUAUAGCGAAGCAGCUCUCUGUAUGUUUUCUGAUGUGACCAGUUGGUGACCAUAGAAUAGAUUGGUUACUAACUAUCUAUUCAACAUAUUUCCUAAAUUUUAAGAAUGUUAUUAUGUCAAAUCAUUUAACUAAAUAUGACUGGUGUCAGGUUUCAUGUUCAAGACUAAAUAUUUUUUGAAGAUAUUCUUCCUGUGGUGAAAGCUGGAAUUAUGUGUCUUAGUCAGAGAGAGUCAGUGUUUCAACCAGAGGCCAAUAAUCAUCCAAACAACUGCCCAGCAGAGAGCCUCUGUCUCUGGUAAUUAGAUGGUGCCUCAGAAUGACUGGUUUUAAACAUACUGCUGGGACAGUGCAUUGGUUUGACCGGUGUCAGCCAAUGACAGGUUUUUGCCUUCCACAGAGACCGAUCCACAAAAAUUAAAAAUAAACAUUUUAAAAGUUUUUGAAAAGUGUAAAAAAAAUACUGUUACUUUUUAUACUGCUAAGGAUGAAUUAUGUACAAUUAUCUACAAAUGCAGACAGGAGACUGGCUUAAGAUAUACUGCUGGAUGUUCAUGUGUAUAUUUCUUGUGCAUGACUGUAAAUACUCAACAGAAGGUGAAUACUUCAGGGUUUGCAUCGCUUACUAAGUUAUUCCAAAGAGAAGAGACUUGUGUUCUUAUAAAAUAUAUAAAAAAAUGUAUUUACCUCUAUGUACAGAGCAUGGGGUUUCUAGUAAUCUAAGGAAAUAAUUCUAGUCCUUUUCUGUCCCAAUAACAGUAAAAGUGACUUCAGAUUAUCAACAAACAUAUUAAAGACCAAACGAGGGUUUUAGGUGUCAAAUAGGCAGGAUGUGUAAUAUAUAUACAAAUAUAUACACUGAAGAAAAAUUCCACUCAAAUAUUUUGUCCUAUAAAUGUUUUAUGUAUGAUGGUAAAUAUCUGUUAUAUGCUUUGAAUUAUAUUUGCAACUUGGCCACAUUUGUAUUCUUGUACAAGAUGCAGCCAGAAUGACUGUAAAAAGGGUAAAUCAAUAUAAAACAUUUAACUUGUUUUUUGUUUUUUUUUAUAAUGAUUAUUGUGCUUUUUUGUAACUGAACUAUAAAACAACAAACACCUAUUUAAGUCUUCAUACCUUCAAUAUAUUAUUUAACAACAUCAUUAUGGGAGAAGAUUAAAAAUGCUAAGCUGAUUAGCUGAUUGUUAGUUGAAUUUGGGUCAAAACCAAAACAGAUUCCUACCAUGUUAAACAGAAAUUCUUGGUAAUUCACUACAAGUUGAAUUACCAAGUUGAAACAUUGCUGAUAUGUUUAUUACUGUGAACUUGUGCUUUCUCUAGACAACUCACUGAAUUAAAACAACUCUUUUCAUAAUUUUUAAAUGACAUUAAUUCUGAGUCAAAUGCACCAAUUUUAACCCUCUGGAAAGUGAUGGUAGCUCAUUUAAUAUUAAUAAAUGCAGCAUGUACAGUGGGACUACAGCAAGCAGCAAACUGCAAAAACCCAUAAAUGCUUGAGACCCACUCUAAAGACUCUUAUAAAUAUCAAUUUUAAUAGUUCAUACACCUACUAUACCUUAAUAUUCAUUAAUAUGCACUUUGGAAACUGCUAUGUUUGUUCCACAGAAGCUAACAUCUACAGUUUUCCUUAUGAACUCUUGGAGUUCAGCCAAUCAGUGCCGAGGAAUUUCUGGCAUUUCUGGAUUGGCUGCUUUGUAAAAGCCGACUAGCAUUGAGUCUUGGUAUUUCAACUGCAGAUUUGGCUGGUUGAAUGUAACUGGUAGAUUAACCAGCCAUCUACAGAAGUUACCUAGUUAAGAUUAAGACCAGAUUAACUGUUUUGACCUGUAUGUUCUGCUGAGAUUUGCUUUACAAAAUAGGUUUUAAAAUCACCAAACUGUUUACUAAAAAAUGCAUCUUGGCUUAAAAUAUAUUCAAACCAUCAAGUGAGGAACACUGUAGGCAGUAUCGUGUUCCAGAGUGUGUGCUUAUCUGUGUUUUUUUCUUUCUUUUAAUUUUUUUUUCUCCAUUAGCAGUGUGUAACGUUUUGUCAAACACAACCAAAUAGUUUGGAGGAUCAGUUUUAGUCUCUAGGCUUAUUCAUAAUUAUUUUAUUCUUACACUUUUAAACUGGCAGUCACUUUGCUUCUAUCACACAAAACUCAUCCAUCUUAAAUACUUCCAGGAUUUUGGUCACGGAAGCCAAAAAAUAAUAAAUGUAAAAAAAGACAUCCCAUAAAAGUUGCAGUGAAAUAAGUGCUUUUCAUUUUCUUUACACAUUGUGGUUGAUUUACCCUUAUCAGUCAGACUCAUUGUACUCAGGUCUUUCACUUGGUUUGGUUUUUAGUGGUGGUUUUUGGGGAAACCCUUAAUGUGAAGUGUUUUGUCUGUGUAAUAUCUUAUGGCUGUUUGUAUAUUCUCUUAGUACUUUCCAUUUUAAAAGUGCUCAAAUAAACAAAUAAAUCAUUUUCAAAGACA
Gambusia affinis (western mosquitofish) is the source of this 12432-nucleotide long non-coding RNA. RefSeq lists it as uncharacterized. Lineage: Eukaryota; Metazoa; Chordata; Actinopteri; Cyprinodontiformes; Poeciliidae. The transcript is spliced from 2 exons. The record is from RefSeq and is a predicted model, not a curated record.